GACGUAGGGGGCCAGCGUUGUUCGGAAUUACUGGGCGUAAAGGGUUCGUAGGCGGUGUGGCAAGUCGGGAGUGAAAUUUCUGGGCUCAACUCAGAGACUGCUUCCGAAACUGCUGUGCUUGAGUGUGGGAGAGGCGCGUGGAAUUGCAGGUGUAGCGGUGAAAUGCGUAGAUAUCUGCAGGAACACCCGUGGCGAAAGCGGCGCGCUGGACCACUACUGACGCUGAGGAACGAAAGCUAGGGGAGCAAACAGG
This 253-nucleotide ribosomal RNA is filed under the name uncultured bacterium. Its description in RNAcentral is "partial 16S ribosomal RNA". It matches the Rfam family "Bacterial small subunit ribosomal RNA", at positions 524 to 776 of the family's 1533-position model. The record is from RNAcentral.